GGGGGACCCGCUAUCGGGAAUUCUGGGGCGUAAAGCGAGCGUAGGUGGCUUGAUAAGUCAGAUGUGAAAUCCCCGGGCUUAACCUGGGAACUGCAUCUGAUACUGUUAAGCUAGAGUAGGUGAGAGGGAAGUAGAAUUCCAGGUGUAGCGGUGAAAUGCGUAGAGAUCUGGAGGAAUACCGAUGGCGAAGGCAGCUUCCUGGCAUCAUACUGACACUGAGGCUCGAAAGCGUGGGUAGCAAACAGGAUUAGAUACCCUGGUAGUCCACGCCGUAAACGAUGUCUACUAGUCGUUGGGUCCCUUGAGGACUUAGUGACGCAGCUAACGCAAUAAGUAGACCGCCUGGGGAGUACGGCCGCAAGGUUAAAACUCAAAUGAAUUGACGGGGGCCCGCACAAGCGGUGGAGCAUGUGGUUUAAUUCGAUGCAACGCGAAGAACCUUACCUGGUCUUGACAUACACAGAAUCUUGUAGAGAUACGAGAGUGCCUUCGGGAAUUGUGAUACAGGUGCUGCAUGGCUGUCGUCAGCUCGUGUCGUGAGAUGUUGGGUUAAGUCCCGCAACGAGCGCAACCCUUGUCCUUAGUUACCAGCGGGUUAAGCCGGGAACUCUAAGGAUACUGCCAGUGACAAACUGGAGGAAGGCGGGGACGACGUCAAGUCAUCAUGGCCCUUACGACCAGGGCUACACACGUGCUACAAUGGUAGGUACAGAGGGCAGCUACACAGCGAUGUGAUGCGAAUCUCAAAAAGCCUAUCGUAGUCCAGAUUGGAGUCUGCAACUCGACUCCAUGAAGUAGGAAUCGCUAGUAAUCGCGGAUCAGAAUGCCGCGGUGAAUACGUUCCCGGGCCUUGUACACACCGCCCGUCACACCAUGGGGAGUUGAUUGCACCAGAAGUGGUUAGCCUAACUUAGUGAGGGCGAUCACCACGGUGUGGUUGAUGACUGGGGUGAUCAAAAAAAAAAAAACCACACACAAGAAAAAAAAAAUAAG
This 993-nucleotide ribosomal RNA is filed under the name Psychrobacter celer. Its description in RNAcentral is "bacterial SSU rRNA". It matches the Rfam family "Bacterial small subunit ribosomal RNA", at positions 531 to 1533 of the family's 1533-position model. The record is from RNAcentral. Lineage: Bacteria; Pseudomonadati; Pseudomonadota; Gammaproteobacteria; Moraxellales; Moraxellaceae.